ACGGCCAUACCAUGCUGAAUAUACCGGUUCUCGUUAGAUCACCGAAGUCAAGCAUCAUUGGGGCAGUCGACCGGUGACCACCUGGGAACACCGCGUGCCGUUG
Non-coding RNA from Caerostris extrusa, 103 nucleotides. Lineage: Eukaryota; Metazoa; Arthropoda; Arachnida; Araneae; Araneidae. The record is from the annotation of a GenBank genome assembly.